Molecule: ribosomal RNA, 254 nt
Filed under: uncultured prokaryote
Description: partial 16S ribosomal RNA
Rfam family: Bacterial small subunit ribosomal RNA
Source: RNAcentral
ACAGAGGUCCCAAGCGUUGUUCGGAUUCACUGGGCGUAAAGGGUGCGUAGGUGGCUACUUUAAGUUUGAUGUGAAAGCUCCGGGCUUAACCCGGAAAUGGCAUUGAAGACUAUUGAGCUAGAGGUUUGGAGGGGGGACUGGAAUGCUUGGUGUAGCAGUGAAAUGCGUAGAUAUCAAGCGGAACACCGGUGGCGAAGGCGAGUCCCUGGACAACACCUGACACUGAGGCACGAAAGCGUGGGGAUCAAACAGGA